Molecule: long non-coding RNA, 193 nt
Organism: Amphibalanus amphitrite
Lineage: Eukaryota; Metazoa; Arthropoda; Thecostraca; Balanomorpha; Balanidae
Exons: 3
Source: RefSeq, a predicted model, not a curated record
CGCCGACCUCAGGACCAAGCCCACCACCAGCGGGCGCUGACGGAGGCGGGUGUGCGGCUCUGGCGCAGCUGAGCCGUCGACCGCCGGAGCCAAUCCGGCAGUCCGGCAUUUCAGCUGCCGCACACUCGCCCGUCACAGCAUCAGAGGCCUCCCGAGACAGCCCCCACGGUCACCCGGUCCGGCCGUCCGGAGC